UCUUCGCACCGCACCGCUAGCUGGGGACAAAUACACGGAUGCAAUACAUAUAUUUGACGCCUCCUGGCUUUCCUCUUUGCACAUUUCCGGAACAAUCGCUCACUUGGAAGAUUCCAGGUUAAGAACAUUUGCCCGUUUGGGAAGAUUCGUUCAACGAUGGUGACUAUUCGCCGUUUGGCUCGACUACUCGGUCUUUGAACUUCUAUUUUGUGUUAGUUUUAUUGCGUUUGUGUUUGUGUGUGUGUGAUUAAAUUGUCUUUUUUUUGUUUGUCAUUUUAUUGUUGUAACCAUUGUUUAAGAAGGACAGGAAGUGACGUGUUGGGGAGAGAGAGAAAGAAAAAAGGCUAGACUGAGGGCAAGGUACAAGUGGUUGUUGGAGGACAACGAAAGGACAAAGGACGUGAACGGUGGACAUUUGUCAAAAGUUGAUCGACGUGUUCGACAAGGACUGUUGAAAGUUCAAGUGGGAUAGUGUGUCGUUUUGAGUGGACUACUCAAAUCACGCCGUAACAUGGUGGAGUUAGGCGCUACCACAGGGGCUAAGUGCACGCAUGGGACUUGGCUUGGCUAACGCUAGUUAGCAAGGCCUGUGUGUUGGAGCGCGAAGGAGGGGACAAGGGCGCUAGCGUCGAGCUAACGCGCCUAGCAAGGCCUGUUAUUUCAGAGACCUUUGAUAGAGAAUUAAAUGCACAAGUAAAGAGUAAAGUUGUCAUAGACAUUCCUACUUUGGAGUGAGGAAAGGACUCAGGAGGCUACCUCGUCGAAGUAUUUUAUACAAGAGGGGCGCUACACUGGUUUGUGCGAAGGGGGAUUUUAGUCUAAAUUCACACAAUGUAUCUUAACACUUUUCCCUUCGGCAGUAAAAGAACUUCUGUGCUCCAGAGCAGUCGUGACAUGUCUCUAACUUGCAUUCAGUACAGGACCAGAGGAGAUUUUGGAGUGUUUGGGCACUACCCGAAGAGAAGUAGUCCAAACAACACGUGAAGCUUCGAUUUUCGAAGCAGACGGCGGCAAAGGCUGUCUUUUCUUCUGUCCUCUUUGCUCAAAUUCAAGUGCGGUAAAGUGAGAUUUACAAUCCAUUUAGGGAAGACUGCGCAAAUGAAAGCUUUUCUGCUCAGAUGCAUUUGUGCACUUUGAAGUAAAAAAAAAAAAUAAAUAAAAUAAAAUAACGCGAGUCUCUGGUUGCAUGCACAAUAGGGCCAUUUUUCCCCACUCAAGUCUUUGCACUUUCAAACACGAGGACAGCAAAGGAAAAGUUUGUGCGUGCAUGUGUGUUCUUAUCACCUGAUUGUUAUCAAAAGACUUUUAUUAACAUGUACUGUGUGUAUUGGUGGCAGGCUGUACAUUUAGUACUUGGGCUUCCACUAUCACAUCGCAAGUAUACACCUCUUGCGCCUACGUCAUAAAAUCACGUGACUUUUGCUUACGUCGCCAUGUUGGUGGUCAAGCUAAGCAUUGCUCAAUGCUCAGUCAGUUGGAGACGACACGGAAAUAUCUCUUGUAGCACGACGCCCAGAGUCUUGUCCGAUACCGUCAGACAUUUAGAAGGAAAUUGGACUGUUGGUUCGCUUCCGCUUGUCUUGGACAACUGGAUCUACACACGGAUCUGGAAUAUAUCCCACAUAGUGACGGUUUUGACGGCUCGUGAACGCGGAAGCGUGUUCGGCCACACGUUAACCUUUGCCGGAAUCCAUCGAUCUUUCCCUCGCCUCUUAUCGUGCUCGGCGCCUACAAGGAGUCGGGCCCGACUCCAACGCGAAGCGAGAAGCAUUUUCAAAGGACUAUUUUCAAAUUGCAGACCCCGGUUGGGUCCUGAUGAGGGGGCCGUGAUGGGCGCCAAUCACGACCAAGCCGUCGGCCUCGCGUCGCGCCUGGAAAAUGACCUCUCAUCUUCCGCACGGAGAAACGUAACAAUCUCUCGAGGAUUCAAUUUUUGCAUCAUCAGAAAAAGGCGGGCGGGAAAACGAGGAUGCAGAAUGACGACCUCUUCAAGUUGUGUGAUCAACGAUGAAAACACGGCAGACCUGGCGCAAAAUAUGAAUCUAGAUUUCAAGGCAGAAUACAUCUAUCUCUAUUAAUUUAAUCAAAGUACAGCGGGGCCUUGAAAUACGACUUUUCUUAUAGACAUGUGCAGUAUUAAUUGAAUUAUUGUUAAUUGUUAGUGGUGGUAAAGAGGGAGCUAAGUCGAAAGGCCAAGUUCUCAAUUUACCAGUCGCUCUACGUUCCUCCCCUCGCCUAUGGGCACGAGCUGUGGGUCGUGACCGAAAGAACAAGAUCCUGGAUCCAAGCGGCCGAAAUGAGUUUCCUACACACCUGCAUUUAAUGAACCCCAGUCCUUGUAGGACCCAGCGGACGGUCCGGCUUUGCCAGAUCGUUGCCAUCGAUGCCUCGUACCUCCCGGUGUACCGACCCCCUGCCUGUCUCCUGACCUACGCCGAGAGCCUGACGUCAUUAUCACCGCCGCUCUCGUGGACCGACUGCCUGGUUACCGACUCUGGACUGUGUAAAGAUAUUUCCUGAACUGCCUCCACGUUUACAGAGUCGUGCAUUUGGGUCCAACUCCGCGUUCUGGUUAUGACACUCCCUUAGAGAGAGGGUGAGAAGCUCGGUCGUCCGGGAGGGGCUCAGUGCCGAGCCGCUGCUCCUCCGCAUUGAGAGGCGCCAGAUGAGGUGGCUGGGGCAUUUGAUUCGGAUGCUUCCCUCACGCCUCCCUGGUGAGGUGUUCCGGGCACGUCCCACCAGAAAGAAACCCCGGGGACGACCCAGGACACGCUGGAGAGACUAUGUCUCUCGGCUGGCUUGGGAACGCCUCGGGAUCCCUCCGGAAGAAGCUGGAAGAAGCGGCUGGGGAAAGGGAAGUCUGGGUAUCCCUGCUGAAGCUAAGUCCCCCCGCGACCCGACCCGGAAAAGCGGUACAAAAUGGAUGGAUUGAUUGUUCGUGGUUCAGAGGUCUCUUACAUGCUUCAGCCUCUCCUGCAGACGUAAUAGGCUAAAUUCUCCACUGGAGUCCCAAUUCCCACCCCAAACUCCGAUUUGAAAAUAAAUGGGUUGCAUCAAGAAUGGUGUCCGGGAUCAGAACCGUGCCAAAGCAAUAACGAAUAGCGAUUUGCUGUGCCAAGCCGUGAUCGGACCAGCCAAAAGUCGCAACAACCACAACAACAGUUACUGUUUAUUUUUAUAGUAAAUUUCUUUUGGCUUGUCCCGUUAAGGGGGCCGCCACUUGUAUGAUAACAAAAAUGUGACAGCAAUUUUUUUUUCCUUCGCAUUUCCCCCCCCCCCCCCGAAGCAGUGAUUUGGCUUGUUUUCACACCCGCACGACAGUUGAAACGACCACUUUGAAAAUGUUGCUAACGAUUUCUAUUAUGCAGUAUCGAUUUCUUAGUCCUUGAGAAAAGCGCAUUCUCUCGCUUGCGUCACGUAUGUUUGCGCUCAUGAUCCUGCUGGUUCUCUGUGUGUGUGUGGGGGGGGGGGGCAAGUCCCAUUGUCCCCUUUGGAAGGAGGGAUGGAAAGAAUAAAAA
Long non-coding RNA from Syngnathoides biaculeatus (alligator pipefish), 3518 nucleotides. RefSeq lists it as uncharacterized. NCBI's taxonomy places the organism in Eukaryota, Metazoa, Chordata, Actinopteri, Syngnathiformes, Syngnathidae. The record is from RefSeq and is a predicted model, not a curated record. The transcript is spliced from 4 exons.